AUGUAUAUGUACUAUAUAAAUAGUGAUAGUACAUAAAGUACAUAGCUGCCUCGAAUGACAGUUGGAUGAAAAUAAAUUAUCAAUCAAAAGCUUCGGGUACAUUUCCGAUAUUUCCCACAUAAAUAUUUAUAUAAUUAGCGAGAUAAUUAGUUGAAAUACAUUUGUCAAAAUAAUUACAUCAAAUCAUAUUGAGGCUCUAUGCCGCGCUUUACGAUGCAACUCUCUUCCGGCCCGAAGGAACAGUCCAUUCGCCACCUGUCCAUUUCCGAAGACAUCAAGCAGAGGAGAUUGGUGCAACCCUCCAAAUAGUAUCGUCCGGCAUGGGGAAUUCCGAUCAUCGUCCAAAAUUCGAAGGCUGGCGGUUUUGAAAGUUUCAAUAUGCAUCAGAGUUUUUUGAAGCGGCUCUGCUCUUUCGAUCCGGAAUCAUCCUCAAAAAUUAAUAUAGCAAAGAAAAUUCAUUAAAACUAAACAUAAAAUUAUUUUAAAUUUAAGGAAAGUUAAAUCUUCCAUGUAUUCUGGGAAAAUAUGUAGCAUUUCUUUCUAAA
Long non-coding RNA from Armigeres subalbatus, 545 nucleotides. RefSeq lists it as uncharacterized. The transcript is spliced from 2 exons. NCBI's taxonomy places the organism in Eukaryota, Metazoa, Arthropoda, Insecta, Diptera, Culicidae. The record is from RefSeq and is a predicted model, not a curated record.